AACUAACGCUAUAUAAGUAUCAGUUUCUGUACUAUAUUGGUACGUGAAACUUCCGGUACCCCACCGGCAUAAUUUUGGACGCGGCCGCGAGGCGGCC
This 97-nucleotide unclassified non-coding RNA is filed under the name Trypanosomatidae sp. 120YS-A. RNAcentral's name for it is "trans-spliced leader sequence". Lineage: Eukaryota; Euglenozoa; Kinetoplastea; Trypanosomatida; Trypanosomatidae. The record is from RNAcentral.